UAAGGAAUAUUGGUCAAUGGACGCAAGUCUGAACCAGCCAUGCCGCGUGAAGGAUGAAGGUCCUCUGGAUUGUAAACUUCUUUUAUAUGGGACGAAACCCGGGCAUUCCUGCCCGAUUGACGGUACCAUAGGAAUAAGCACCGGCUAACUCCGUGCCAGCAGCCGCGGUAAUACGGAGGGUGCAAGCGUUAUCCGGAUUCACUGGGUUUAAAGGGUGCGUAGGAGGGUAGGUAAGUCAGAGGUGAAAUCUCCGGGCUCAACUCGGAAACUGCCGUUGAUACUAUCUGUCUUGAAUACCGUGGAGGUGAGCGGAAUAUGUCAUGUAGCGGUGAAAUGCUUAGAUAUGACAUAGAACACCGAUUGCGAAGGCAGCUCACUACACGAAUAUUGACUCUGAGGCACGAAAGCGUGGGGAUCAAACAGGAUUAGAUACCCUGGUAGA
This 442-nucleotide ribosomal RNA is filed under the name uncultured bacterium. RNAcentral describes it as "bacterial SSU rRNA". It matches the Rfam family "Bacterial small subunit ribosomal RNA", at positions 355 to 794 of the family's 1533-position model. The record is from RNAcentral.